UGAGGAAUAUUGGACAGUGGGCGCAAGCCUGAUCCAGCCAUGCCGCGUGCAGGAUGACGGUCCUAUGGAUUGUAAACUGCUUUUGUACAGGAAGAAACAGUUCUACGUGUAGAACCUUGACGGUACUGUAAGAAUAAGGAUCGGCUAACUCCGUGCCAGCAGCCGCGGUAAUACGGAGGAUCCAAGCGUUAUCCGGAAUCAUUGGGUUUAAAGGGUCCGUAGGCGGUUAGAUAAGUCAGUGGUGAAAGCCCAUCGCUCAACGGUGGAACGGCCAUUGAUACUGUCUGACUUGAAUUAUUAGGAAGUAACUAGAAUAUGUAGUGUAGCGGUGAAAUGCUUAGAGAUUACAUGGAAUACCAAUUGCGAAGGCAGGUUACUACUAAUGGAUUGACGCUGAUGGACGAAAGCUAGGGUAGCGAAGAGGAUUAGAUACCCCCGUAGUCCCUGAGCGGGCUGGCAAGGCGCAU
This 467-nucleotide ribosomal RNA is filed under the name uncultured bacterium. Its description in RNAcentral is "bacterial SSU rRNA". It matches the Rfam family "Bacterial small subunit ribosomal RNA", at positions 355 to 825 of the family's 1533-position model. The record is from RNAcentral.